UGACGCGUUUGAUAGCAGGAUC
Molecule: microRNA, 22 nt
Filed under: Chlamydomonas reinhardtii
Lineage: Eukaryota; Viridiplantae; Chlorophyta; Chlorophyceae; Chlamydomonadales; Chlamydomonadaceae
Description: cre-miR908.2
Gene: cre-miR908.2
Source: miRBase by way of RNAcentral